AAUUGUUACAUAAGAAUGAGAAAUAAAAAUGUUAAAUUAUACUUUUAAAGUGAUUUAUGUUUGGUUUAAAAGUUAAUGAAUUUAAUGAAAUAAUCUAUACAAUUAACAAUGAUGGCAAAAAACUAUACAAUUAAUAAGGAAAGAAAUAAAGUUGUGUGUAGUGUAGUAUUUAUAGGUAAAAGCAAAAUUAAAAAAAAAAUUGCUCAUUGUAUGUCUAUGUUUUCCUCGACCUCUUUUCUUCCUUUCAAGGAGUACAAUUCUCUUAACACAUAAAAUGAUCUGCAUAUUAAUAUGUGAAUGGAGAAUAAUUGCAUAUAGAACUGCAUCACUUUUGGUUCUGCUA
This 343-nucleotide long non-coding RNA is filed under the name Brassica rapa (field mustard). Its description in RNAcentral is "long non-coding RNA (BRAP_LNC005672)". Lineage: Eukaryota; Viridiplantae; Streptophyta; Magnoliopsida; Brassicales; Brassicaceae. The record is from RNAcentral.